Long non-coding RNA from Oreochromis aureus, 347 nucleotides. RefSeq lists it as uncharacterized. NCBI's taxonomy places the organism in Eukaryota, Metazoa, Chordata, Actinopteri, Cichliformes, Cichlidae. The record is from RefSeq and is a predicted model, not a curated record. The transcript has 4 exons.
GAGACGGCAAGAAACAAGCCGAUUAUGUUCGCGUUAAUUAAGUUCAGUUCAGUUCAGUUCAGUUCAUUUUUAUUUCAAUUCUCAAUUCUGCCAACUGAACAUAUACGAGAUUUUAAUGAGGAUGAAUAAUUAGCCGGCAUGGAGGAAACGGACCUUUAUUUGGUGGAGUGGCGACAAGAAGCAGGCGGGUGGCCGGUCUAUGAAGCCUCCAUCAUCAAGCUAGCAGAAAUCCCACCUCUCCUUCUGGCUACAGAGUACUUACCAAGCCCAUGAAAUCGAAUGCAGAUCUUCCUGAUGUGAGAUUUACAUAAAUAUGUCAAAGUCUCAACCUCAUGCUGCCCUCCCCA